ACUCAAAUGAAUUGACGGGGGCCCGCACAAGCGGUGGAUCAUGUGGUUUAAUUCGACGCAACGCGAAAAACCUUACCUGGGCUCGAACGGCUAGUAGUAGAAUCCUGGAAACAGGAGACGACCCGUAAAGUCGGAUGCUAGUCGAGGUGCUGCAUGGCUGUCGUCAGCUCGUGUCGUGAGAUGUUGGGUUAAGUCCCGCAACGAGCGCAACCCUUAUCCCAUGUUGCUAAUGCCGCAAGGCAUGCACUCUUGGGAGACUGCUUCGGAUAACGGAGAGGAAGGUGGGGACGACGUCAAGUCAUCAUGGCCUUUAUGUCCAGGGCUACACAUGUGAUACAAUGGCCGGCACAGCAGGAUGCAAUACCGCAAGGUGGAGCCAAUCCCUAAAGCCGGCCCCAGUUCAGAUCGUGGGCUGCAAUUCGCCCACGUGAAGUCGGAAUCGCUAGUAAUCGCAGAUCAGCAGGCUGCGGUGAAUACGUUCCCGGGCCUUGUACACACCGCCCGU
RNAcentral lists this ribosomal RNA (505 nucleotides) under uncultured bacterium. Its description in RNAcentral is "partial 16S ribosomal RNA". It matches the Rfam family "Bacterial small subunit ribosomal RNA", at positions 899 to 1397 of the family's 1533-position model. The record is from RNAcentral.